RNAcentral lists this ribosomal RNA (468 nucleotides) under uncultured bacterium. RNAcentral's name for it is "partial 16S ribosomal RNA". It matches the Rfam family "Bacterial small subunit ribosomal RNA", at positions 28 to 507 of the family's 1533-position model. The record is from RNAcentral.
GACGAACGCUGGCGGCGUGCUUAACACAUGCAAGUCGAACGGAAAGGCCCUGCUUUUGUGGGGUGCUCGAGUGGCGAACGGGUGAGUAACACGUGAGUAACCUGCCCUUGACUUUGGGAUAACUUCAGGAAACUGGGGCUAAUACCGGAUAGGAGCUCCUGCUGCAUGGUGGGGGUUGGAAAGUUUCGGCGGUUGGGGAUGGACUGGCGGCUUAUCAGCUUGUUGGUGGGGUAGUGGCUUACCAAGGCUUUGACGGGUAGCCGGCCUGGGAGGGUGACCGGCGACAUUGGGACUGAGAUACGGCCCAGACUCCUACGGGAGGCAGCAGGGGGGAAUAUUGCACAAUGGGCGGAAGCCUGAUGCAGCAACGCCGCGUGCGGGAUGACGGCCUUCGGGUUGUAAACCGCUUUCGCCUGUGACGAAGCGUGAGUGACGGUAAUGGGUAAAGAAGCACCGGCUAACUACGUG